RNAcentral lists this unclassified non-coding RNA (2039 nucleotides) under Hevea brasiliensis (rubber tree). Lineage: Eukaryota; Viridiplantae; Streptophyta; Magnoliopsida; Malpighiales; Euphorbiaceae. The record is from RNAcentral.
CUGCAAGCUCCGAUUACUCCUCGGCUCCUCCCCAAUUUUCCCACUACUACGCCGCCACUCUCACACGCGCCACCAUGCAAUCUACCUUCGUCUCGCCACGUGCCAACCCAACCAAAGUCGCAAACCCUUUCCAUGGCGUCAUUAGUCAGCCCCAUUUCUUGACACGGCCCUCGUCUCUCCGCGUUGUAGCACAAUCGCAGCCUGUUGUUGCCACAGACCCUUCACAGGCAUCUACCGUAGCUCACAAACUGAACAAGUACAGUUCUCGCAUCACUGAGCCCAAAUCCCAAGGCGGGUCACAAGCAAUCCUCCAUGGAGUUGGUCUAUCAGACGAAGACCUCAAUAAACCUCAGAUAGGUAUCUCCUCAGUCUGGUACGAAGGGAACACUUGCAAUAUGCACUUGCUGAGGCUAUCAGAGGCUGUUAAGGAAGGAGUGAAAGAGGCAGGGAUGGUUGGCUUCAGGUUUAACACAAUUGGGGUCAGCGAUGCUAUCUCUAUGGGAACUAGAGGGAUGUGUUAUAGCUUGCAAAGUAGAGAUUUGAUUGCGGAUAGUAUUGAGACUGUCAUGAGUGCUCAGUGGUAUGACGGGAAUAUCUCCAUCCCUGGUUGCGAUAAAAAUAUGCCAGGUACAAUUAUGGCAAUGGGGAGGCUCAAUCGACCUAGUAUUAUGGUUUAUGGUGGAACCAUAAAGCCCGGACAUUAUAAUGGUCAUUCUUAUGAUAUAAUAUCUGCCUUUCAGGCUUAUGGAGAAUAUGUAAAUGGUUCUAUAAGUGAUGAGGAUAGAAAAAAUGUAGUCCACAAUUCGUGCCCUGGUGCAGGGGCUUGUGGUGGAAUGUAUACAGCUAACACAAUGGCUUCUGCUAUUGAGGCCAUGGGAAUGUGUCUUCCUUACAGCUCUUCAAUACCUGCUGAAAACCCAUUGAAGUUGGAUGAGUGCCGUUUAGCUGGAAAGUAUCUUUUAGAAUUAUUGAAAAUGGACUUGAAACCACAAAAUAUUAUCACUCCUCAGUCACUACGUAAUGCAAUGGUUGUUGUCAUGGCAUUGGGUGGGUCUACCAAUGCUGUGUUACACUUAAUUCCAAUUGCCAGGUCUGUUGGACUGGAGUUAACACUUGAAGAUUUCCAGAAGGUUAGCGAUGAGGUUCCAUUCCUUGCAGAUCUAAAGCCUAGUGGUAAAUAUGUUAUGGAGGAUGUGCAUAAGAUUGGAGGAACACCUGCAGUCCUUCGCUAUCUUUUGGAACAUGGUUUUCUGGAUGGGGAUUGUUUGACUGUGACUGGGAAGACAUUGGCUGAAAAUGUGCAAAACUGCCCACCUUUGUCUGAGGGACAGGACAUAAUAAGGCCAUUGGAGAACCCCAUCAAGAAAACAGGUCACAUCCAAAUAUUACAAGGGAACCUUGCACCAGAGGGUUCUGUAGCAAAAAUCACUGGAAAAGAAGGACUCUAUUUCUCUGGUCCUGCACUUGUCUUUGAAGGAGAGGAAGCUAUGCUUGCAGCUAUCUCGGAAAAUCCUAUGAAUUUUAAGGGGAAAGUAGUAGUUAUAAGAGGUGAGGGGCCUAAGGGAGGACCAGGCAUGCCUGAAAUGCUAACUCCAACAAGUGCAAUCAUGGGAGCUGGUCUCGGGAAGGAUUGUGCAUUGUUGACUGAUGGUAGGUUUUCAGGAGGUUCUCAUGGAUUUGUUGUUGGUCAUAUAUGCCCCGAAGCACAGGAAGGUGGUCCAAUUGGUCUUGUUAGAAAUGGCGACAUCAUCAGAAUUGAUGUCCGAGAGAGGAGAAUAGAUGUUGAUGUAACAGACCAGGAAAUGGAAGAACGAAGAAAGAAUUGGACUCCCCCUCCAUAUAAGGCUACAUGUGGAGUUUUGUACAAGUACAUCAAGAACGUACAAUCAGCUUCCAGGGGAUGUGUGACUGAUGAGUAGUGGAGAGGACAAUGUUUAGGACUGUAGAGUGCGAUGGAAGCACAAAUCUUUGCUUGCCAGACUGCUGUAUCGGGCAACUUAUUCUGGCUCUUACUAGGAUUUUCAUUUGGCCCUUCAACU